This is a long non-coding RNA of Drosophila persimilis, 2045 nucleotides long. RefSeq lists it as uncharacterized. The transcript is spliced from 4 exons. The record is from RefSeq and is a predicted model, not a curated record. NCBI's taxonomy places the organism in Eukaryota, Metazoa, Arthropoda, Insecta, Diptera, Drosophilidae.
UCUGUGCGCGAGUAUACGCCAUUAUCAUUCAGGCUCAGCUUGUUGUAUGUUGUAUCGGCGUCCAUACGGGACUCAUCAGGUGGGAUGGAACAGGCCGCCGACGCCGGGCGUUUGGCCAUAUCGAUGCAGGAGCUGGCUUUUGACCUGGAUGUUUUCCUCGUACGACACAGAAGAAAGAAGCCGUGGAUCUCAAUGUGGAGCGCACCUGCAGACCUGGAAUUCAACAGGGCACCAAUAUGCCCCUUCUGGAUGUUGAACAAAACGUGAGAGAUCUCACUUACAAAGAAGACUCCAAAAAGCACCGAACCCAAAGUUCUUACCUUCCGCGAUAAGUUUGUUUUCGACAAGAUGAAGGCUGCUACCAUGGGGACUGGAGCAAGAAGGUUCCCCUUGACGUGGCUUGUUCGGUGGACGAAGUCUCCUGCCUUGCCACCGAUCGAAAUCAUAUUACAAGCAUCUACAAUCACAUAGAACGGGACGUGUUGACCAAGCAGAUCGGCUUCAUACCCUUCUAUUCAGGGUGCAAUAGUUACAAAAUCGAGCCCCAGGAGUAUCCAUGGAUAGCGCUUAAGCUGAAUCACCUGCUAAAGCUGGAGGCAGCAGACAUUACCGCUAAAGAAGGCUUGCUGGACUGCUGUGACAAAAUUCUGACCUCCAGAUUCUUGCGUUUGACAAAAACAAACAGAAAACUGUCCUGCGACGUGACGAAAUUGGUUAGGUCGUCAUACAAGACGGCACCAAGAUCUUCUUCCAAGAAGGCCUGCAACGUGUGUUGCUCUUGAUCCAAGUCUGGUCGAUAGUCAAACGUACUGCCUCCGCAGGGCAUCGAUCUGUGCGUUCAUUGCAUCGGUCUGUCUCCAGCUCUAGCAUCAUUUGGGAGUCGAAGAAGGACGGCAAAAAGCGCUUUAAGGAUAUGACCGUACACGACACCGACGCUCUGAAGGCCGAGUAUCUGGUACACAAAGGCUUUAACGAUAUCCUUUAAUCAGGUCAGCAAUCCGAUCGAUUUUAACCGAAUGUUACUAAACUAGUCUAUUAAUCGAAGUCAUCGCCAUUCCAGAAUCUGCUGCAUAUCAAAAUAAAUCGUGUCCAGGUGCACAGACCAAAGUCUUGUGCUGCUUUUAGAGUCAUUACUUCUCUAUUUGAUUGAUUUGGGCUAAUGACUGGGCAACUGUUUAACUUUAAACUACUGUUUUUCCCAAAAAAUUUGUAUUUUAAGAAUCUAUCGCCGUCCAAAGAUUGCGGCUAAAGAGAUAGGCAAUAGUAUAGCAAAUAAGAUUUAGAUAGAAUGAGAUCGCACUGAAGUCUACCGAUUAUCCGCAGCAAUCAUACUAUCAAGCAAAUAGUUGCUAUCUUACAUCUUCAUGAUGCCCAACCUAGCCUCAUCCGCCCGCGCCAGUUCGUAACGGACGAAAGACGGCCCCACCGGCGACAGGAGCUUGGGAUCCAGCUUGUCAUCAGGCCGUUGCUUGAGGAUGUAGCUGUAAUGAUGAAGCCCACCACCACAUACCAAUCACAGGACAGAUCAAGGAUGCUGAAUCCUAAACGCUCAUGGGUGCACUGAACACACACACGAGAUGAACACUCCCGGCAUGCUCCGCAGAUGGCCCACAGAGUCCUGGACGAAAUUUGGCAUUAUUUUGUUCUGUUUGGACACUUGCCGCCUGGUUGGGAUAACAAUCGUGGGAGCAGGAGUGGAUCACGAUGCACGUGAAUCUGUUGAAAGCCGUUGGCGAUAUUCUUGUUGUAGAAAACAGGAAUAAUCACGUACAUUAAGGCACCACCGCCACCGUGCAGCCCAAGUUAAAGAAUGGUCAUAAUGGCAAUGGCCGAGAGCCGACUAGCCACAAGGAAAGUGUCAAUCGGUAUCCUUUUCAUUCUGUUCGUUAUCACCUGAAAAAACCUGGAAUUUAUAUUGCGCUUAUUAUUCACGUGGAGCCAAAUAUGAUCAAACUUUCCAAAUCUUUCGAAAAAUGCAAGCAUCAGGAAUAUAGCGUUUUUAGUUUAAGACAUAUGAGAGCAUUCAGAGUGCUAAUUUAAUUUUU